This 486-nucleotide ribosomal RNA is filed under the name uncultured bacterium. RNAcentral describes it as "partial 16S ribosomal RNA". It matches the Rfam family "Bacterial small subunit ribosomal RNA", at positions 30 to 507 of the family's 1533-position model. The record is from RNAcentral.
AUUGAACGCUGGCGGCAUGCCUUACACAUGCAAGUCGAACGGCAGCACGGGUGCUUGCACCUGGUGGCGAGUGGCGAACGGGUGAGUAAUACAUCGGAACAUGUCCUGUAGUGGGGGAUAGCCCGGCGAAAGCCGGAGUAAUACCGCAUACGAUCUACUGAUGAAAGCGGGGGCCAUUGGGGCCUCGCGCUAUGGGGUCAGUCGAUGGCUGAUUAGCUAGUUGGUGGGGUAAAGGCCUACCAAGGCGACGAUCAGUAGCUGGUCUGAGAGGACGACCAGCCACACUGGGACUGAGACACGGCCCAGACUCCUACGGGAGGCAGCAGUGGGGAAUUUUGGACAAUGGGCGAAAGCCUGAUCCAGCAAUGCCGCGUGUGUGAAGAAGGCCUUCGGGUUGUAAAGCACUUUUGUCCGGAAAGAAAUCCUUGGCCCUAAUACGGUCGGGGGAUGACGGUACCGGAAGAAUAAGCACCGGCUAACUACGUG